GAUGAACGCUGGCGGCGUGCCUAAUACAUGCAAGUCGAGCGAACGGACGAGAAGCUUGCUUCUCUGAUGUUAGCGGCGGACGGGUGAGUAACACGUGGAUAACCUACCUAUAAGACUGGGAUAACUUCGGGAAACCGUAGCUAAUACCGGAUAAUAUUUUGAACCGCAUGGUUCAAAAGUGAAAGACGGUCUUGCUGUCACUUAUAGAUGGAUCCGCGCUGCAUUAGCUAGUUGGUAAGGUAACGGCUUACCAAGGCAACGAUGCAUAGCCGACCUGAGAGGGUGAUCGGCCACACUGGAACUGAGACACGGUCCAGACUCCUACGGGAGGCAGCAGUAGGGAAUCUUCCGCAAUGGGCGAAAGCCUGACGGAGCAACGCCGCGUGAGUGAUGAAGGGCUUCGGAUCGUAAAACUCUGUUAUUAGGGAAGAACAUAUGUGUAAGUAACUGUGCACAUCUUGACGGGACCUAAUCAGAAAGCCACGGCUAACUACGU
This 496-nucleotide ribosomal RNA is filed under the name uncultured bacterium. RNAcentral describes it as "partial 16S ribosomal RNA". It matches the Rfam family "Bacterial small subunit ribosomal RNA", at positions 28 to 506 of the family's 1533-position model. The record is from RNAcentral.